AUGAUACAGAAAAAAAGCCUAAGGAUUGUAAUGGUAGCUUAAUUUUUGAUUGGUAGGCAUAUUUCUAAAAAAAAAAAAAAAACUA
This 85-nucleotide non-coding RNA is filed under the name Chattonella subsalsa. The record is from RNAcentral. Lineage: Eukaryota; Raphidophyceae; Chattonellales; Chattonellaceae.